Molecule: ribosomal RNA, 253 nt
Filed under: uncultured bacterium
Lineage: Bacteria
Description: partial 16S ribosomal RNA
Rfam family: Bacterial small subunit ribosomal RNA
Source: RNAcentral
UACGUAGGUGGCAAGCGUUGUCCGGAUUUACUGGGCGUAAAGAGCGCGCAGGCGGUCGAUUAAGUCGAAUGUGAAAGCCCCCGGCUCAACUGGGGAGGGUCAUUCGAUACUGAUCGACUCGAAGGCAGGAGAGGGUAGUGGAAUUCCCGGUGUAGUGGUGAAAUGCGUAGAUAUCAAGUGGAACACCAGUGGCGAAGGCGAAUCCCUGGAAAAUACCUGACGCUGAGGCACGAAAGCUAGGGGAGCAAACAGG